CCAAAGGCCCUUUUUAGGGCCCCCAGCACGUCAAGAAAAGAGCUG
Oryctolagus cuniculus (rabbit) is the source of this 45-nucleotide non-coding RNA. Lineage: Eukaryota; Metazoa; Chordata; Mammalia; Lagomorpha; Leporidae. The record is from Rfam.